This 244-nucleotide ribosomal RNA is filed under the name Giardia sp. RNAcentral describes it as "partial small subunit ribosomal RNA". Lineage: Eukaryota; Fornicata; Diplomonadida; Hexamitidae. The record is from RNAcentral.
GGAGUACUACGCUAACCCCAAGAUACAAGCCAUGCAAGCAAACACGAGGUACGAAGGGGCGGACGGCUCGGUACAACGGUGGGAGUCGGACCGGGGGUGAAGGCUAGACGGAUACGGCUGGCAACCCAGCACCAAGACGAGUGCUCAAGAGCGAGAAGGGAGAGGACGCAAAGGAGCGAAUGCCCGGAGGAGGUUCCGAGGUAUUACCUGGUCGGUAGAGUAGUGGUCUACGGAGGGGAUGAUG